This 858-nucleotide ribosomal RNA is filed under the name uncultured Bacillota bacterium. RNAcentral's name for it is "bacterial SSU rRNA". It matches the Rfam family "Bacterial small subunit ribosomal RNA", at positions 58 to 922 of the family's 1533-position model. The record is from RNAcentral. Lineage: Bacteria; Bacillati; Bacillota.
CAAGUCGAACGAAGCCCGAGUAGCAAUACGAGGGUUGAGUGGCGAAUGGGUGCGUAACACGUAGGUGACCUGCCCUGAAGCGGGGAAUAACAGUUCGAAAGGACUGCUAAUACCGCAUGUGGUUGCGGGGUUUUGAAGCCCGCAACGAAAGGCGCUCGUAAGAGUGUCACUUCAGGAGGGGCCUGCGGCCCAUCAGCUCGUUGGUAGGGUAAUGGCCUACCAAGGCAACGACGGGUAGGGGACCUCAGAGGGUGACCCCCCACACUGGCACUGACACACGGGCCAGACUCCUACGGGAGGCAGCAGUCGGGAAUAUUGCCCAAUGGUCGAAAGACUGAGGCAGCAACGCCGCGUGCGCGAUGAAGGCCUUCGGGUCGUAAAGCGCUUUUCGGGUGGAUGAGGAAGGACAGUACACCCGGAAUAAGGAACGGCUAACUACGUGCCAGCAGCCGCGGUAAAACGUAGGUUCCGAGCGUUAUCCGGAUUUACUGGGCGUAAAGCGCGUUCAGGCGGUUUGGCAAGUCGGGCAUGAAAUCUCUCGGCUCAACCGGGAGAGGUUGUCCGAUACUGCUGGACUUGAGGGCAGUAGAGGGUGGUGGAAUUCCGGGUGUAGUGGUGAAAUGCGUAGAUAUCCGGAGGAACACCAGUGGCGAAAGCGGCCACCUGGACUGCACCUGACGCUGACACGCGAAAGCUAGGGGAGCGAACGGGAUUAGAAACCCCGGUAGUCCUAGCUAUAAACGAUGUUGACUAGGUGUCGACGGUCUAAACCCCGCCGGUGCCGGAGCAAACGCAUUAAGUCAACCGCCUGGGGACUACCGCCGCAAGGUUAAAACUCAAAGGAAUUGACGGGGACCC